GAUGAACGCUGGCGGCGUGCCUAAUACAUGCAAGUCGAGCGAACGGAUGAGAAGCUUGCUUCUCUGAUGUUAGCGGCGGACGGGUGAGUAACACGUGGAUAACCUACCUAUAAGACUGGGAUAACUUCGGGAAACCGGAGUUAAUACCGGAUAAUAUUUUGAACCGCAUGGUUCAAAAGUGAAAGACGGUCUUGCUGUCACUUAUAGAUGGAUCCGCGCUGCAUUAGCUAGUUGGUAAGGUAACGGCUUACCAAGGCAACGAUGCAUAGCCGACCUGAGAGGGUGAUCGGCCACACUGGAACUGAGACACGGUCCAGACUCCUACGGGAGGCAGCAGUAGGGAAUCUUCCGCAAUGGGCGAAAGCCUGACGGAGCAACGCCGCGUGAGUGAUGAAGGUCUUCGGAUCGUAAAACUCUGUUAUUAGGGAAGAACAUAUGUGUAAGUAACUGUGCACAUCUUGACGGUACCUAAUCAGAAAGCCACGGCUAACUACGUG
RNAcentral lists this ribosomal RNA (497 nucleotides) under uncultured bacterium. Its description in RNAcentral is "partial 16S ribosomal RNA". It matches the Rfam family "Bacterial small subunit ribosomal RNA", at positions 28 to 507 of the family's 1533-position model. The record is from RNAcentral.